RNAcentral lists this ribosomal RNA (497 nucleotides) under uncultured bacterium. RNAcentral's name for it is "partial 16S ribosomal RNA". It matches the Rfam family "Bacterial small subunit ribosomal RNA", at positions 28 to 507 of the family's 1533-position model. The record is from RNAcentral.
GAUGAACGCUGGCGGUGUGCCUAAUACAUGCAAGUCGAGCGAACAGACGAGGAGCUUGCUCCUCUGACGUUAGCGGCGGACGGGUGAGUAACACGUGGAUAACCUACCUAUAAGACUGGGAUAACUUCGGGAAACCGGAGCUAAUACCGGAUAAUAUAUUGAACCGCAUGGUUCAAUAGUGAAAGACGGUUUUGCUGUCACUUAUAGAUGGAUCCGCGCCGCAUUAGCUAGUUGGUAAGGUAACGGCUUACCAAGGCAACGAUGCGUAGCCGACCUGAGAGGGUGAUCGGCCACACUGGAACUGAGACACGGUCCAGACCCCUACGGGAGGCAGCAGUAGGGAAUCUUCCGCAAUGGGCGAAAGCCUGACGGAGCAACGCCGCGUGAGUGAUGAAGGUCUUCGGAUCGUAAAACUCUGUUAUUAGGGAAGAACAAAUGUGUAAGUAACUAUGCACGUCUUGACGGUACCUAAUCAGAAAGCCACGGCUAACUACGUG